GACGAACGCUGGCGGCGUGCUUAACACAUGCAAGUCGAACGGAAAGGCCCUGCUUUUGUGGGGUGCUCGAGUGGCGAACGGGUGAGUAACACGUGAGUAACCUGCCCUUGACUUUGGGAUAACUUCAGGAAACUGGGGCUAAUACCGGAUAGGAGCUCCUGCUGCAUGGUGGGGGUUGGAAAGUUUCGGCGGUUGGGGAUGGACUCGCGGCUUAUCAGCUUGUUGGUGGGGUAGUGGCUUACCAAGGCUUUGACGGGUAGCCGGCCUGUGAGGGUGACCGGCCAAAUUGGGACUGAGAGACGGCCCAGAAUGCUACGGGAGGCAGCAGUGGGGAAUAUUGCACAAUGGGCGGAAGCCUGAUGCAGCAACGCCGCGUGCGGGAUGACGGCCUUCGGGUUGUAAACCGCUUUCGCCUGUGACGAAGCGUGAGUGACGGUAAUGGGUAAAGAAGCACCGGCUAACUACGUG
Molecule: ribosomal RNA, 468 nt
Filed under: uncultured bacterium
Lineage: Bacteria
Description: partial 16S ribosomal RNA
Rfam family: Bacterial small subunit ribosomal RNA
Source: RNAcentral